UGCGGGUGCGCAUCUGGUGCGGAGUAGGAGGUAGGAUGUGGGCUGUGAGUGCCAUGAAUUGUGUGGGGCCAAGCAGGGGAAAGGUGUGUAGGAACUUGGUGUGUGUGUGCAGUAGCUGAGCCACGGCCACCGGGUUGAGCAGCUUGGCUUGGCUGGAGCUAAGAGCCAGACACACCACUGUGUGGAGGUGGGUGAUGUCUUCCUGUGCUACAAGGUGAAUAAAUAAGCUCCUCACCUCUCGCGGAACACUCGGGAACACAUCAACAGGGGUCCAAGCCGCCCUGCUGGGAGGCUUCUCUUCAAGAGUUCUGGGUGCCAGAGUGGAAGGCAUUUUCCCAUCAACUGGAGAGAGACGAAACAUCAGAGACCAGGAGGCUGAGGAGAAAGCAGCUGUCCCAGGUGCCUCAACUAUCAGAGAAGGGUCAGCGCCACGUGGCUGCCAGCAUCUUUGAGAAAAUCAUUGGCAACCG
Molecule: long non-coding RNA, 470 nt
Filed under: Gorilla gorilla gorilla (western lowland gorilla)
Lineage: Eukaryota; Metazoa; Chordata; Mammalia; Primates; Hominidae
Description: lncRNA (ENSGGOG00000044550.1)
Source: RNAcentral